Molecule: ribosomal RNA, 253 nt
Filed under: uncultured bacterium
Lineage: Bacteria
Description: partial 16S ribosomal RNA
Rfam family: Bacterial small subunit ribosomal RNA
Source: RNAcentral
UACAGGGGGGGCAAGCGUUGUUCGGAAUUACUGGGCGUAAAGGGCUCGUAGGCGGCCAACUAAGUCACACGUGAAAUCCCCAGGCUUAACCUGGGAACUGCGUGUGAUACUGGAUGGCUUGAAUCCGGGAGAGGUGAGUGGAAUUCCUGGUGUAGCGGUGAAAUGCGCAGAUAUCAGGAGGAACACCGGUGGCGAAGGCGGUUCUCUGGGCAUGUCCUGACGCUGAGGAGCGAAAGUGUGGGGAGCGAACAGG